CCAAACUUGGUCAUUUAGAGGAAGUAAAAGUCGUAACAAGGUUUCCGUAGGUGAACCUGCGGAAGGAUCAUUAAUGAGGACAAUAACGACAAUUUAUUCCGCCAGGAAUAAAUUGAAGUUAAUUAUUACCUUCCAAACCCUAUGAUUAUAUAAUAUAUGUUGCUUUGGUUAAUGAGAGUAAUGAUCUGUUAACCAAAAGCCCUUAAUUAAAACUCUUAAUAUGAAAUUUAUCUGAGUCUUUAUAAAAUUAUCAAAUUUUAAUUAAAACUUUCAACAACGGAUCUCUUGGUUCUGGCAUCGAUGAAGAACGCAGC
Molecule: unclassified non-coding RNA, 314 nt
Filed under: uncultured fungus
Lineage: Eukaryota; Fungi
Description: partial contains small subunit ribosomal RNA, internal transcribed spacer 1, and 5.8S ribosomal RNA
Rfam family: Eukaryotic small subunit ribosomal RNA (bases 1-73)
Source: RNAcentral